This is a long non-coding RNA of Lathyrus oleraceus (garden pea), 546 nucleotides long. RefSeq lists it as uncharacterized. Lineage: Eukaryota; Viridiplantae; Streptophyta; Magnoliopsida; Fabales; Fabaceae. The record is from RefSeq and is a predicted model, not a curated record. The transcript is spliced from 2 exons.
CAAGAAAUAUGCAUUGUGGAGAGAAGAGAAAUAGAAUAAGAAAACGCAAAGAGAAAGAAUGAAGCUCAUGGAAACUCAUCACCAUCAUCAAUUCCUCUCAUCUUCUUCCCCAAUAUUCAUAAUCUUCAGUAUCUCAAGGUAUUCCUUUCAGGUUGAAUUCAAGAGAAGUUUCUAGAUGGUGUUUCAAAGGUUUUUGACUAUUGUGCUCUUCUGUUGUGGAUCGUGUGCAUUGAAGAGAUUGCACCUAGAUCUUAGUUUUUAUUUUUUUGGAACUAAUUUAUAACAUGUACCAUAAACUUAUUUUAGUUUGGACAUGUGUAUACAAUGAUGUCAUUAGGCUCUUAUGUUGUGUCAGUACUAAGAAUUAACACUUGUAUGGUAUUAUUCUAGAUAUAUAUUAUAUAGGUUGUUAUAGUUGGUAGCAGAGCAGGUUGAUUCUUGACCUGAGUUGUGAUUCUGGUAAUGUAUAACCGAAGGGUGGUGUAUGAUUUCAGCAAUCUUGUAGUGCUAAUGAAAUCAUGGAGUUGAGAAUUUCUAUUGGAUGAA